Molecule: ribosomal RNA, 660 nt
Filed under: Triticum aestivum (bread wheat)
Lineage: Eukaryota; Viridiplantae; Streptophyta; Magnoliopsida; Poales; Poaceae
Description: partial small subunit ribosomal RNA
Source: RNAcentral
AUGUUCCUGGAGCCACGGCGCCCGCUCGUCCUCUGCUUCGGGCGACAGGGACAUGCGCCUUCUCCUGCCGCGUUGACCUCCGCAUUUGGCCACGCCGCCCGCCUGCUCCUUCAAGUCCGUCGAGGCCGGUCCUCCCUGCUGCCCUCUCGCCCGGAUCCAGCCGCGCCAUGGACUCCUACUUUGCGCCGCCGCCAGCACAAACUGCUCGAGCCCCGCGCGACCGUGCGCGUUGACCGCGCUCCUCCUCGUCGUGCAACUGGCCAGCCUCCCACGCGCUCGUGGGCCGCGCCACGGCCCAGCCACCCGCUGCGAGAUCCCCCUGCCGGUCUCCCUCUACGCCAACCUGGGCCUCAGCCCGUGCUUCGGUUUCGUUCCGGAGUUGUGAGGGUUCGUUCGACUACAUUCGUUUGUCUUCUUCAUGGACUCGUUCUUCUUCCUAGCGGGAUCUCAGGCAAGAUGACCACCCCUCGAAAUCACUUCUAUCUUUGCUUUGCUAGUUGCUCGUUCUAUUGCCAUGCUGCGCUACCUACCACUUGCUAUAUCAUGCCUCCCAUACUGCCAUGUCAGCCCUUAACCUUUUCACCCUUCCUAGCAAACCGUUGUUUGGCUAUGUUACCGCUUUGCUCAGCCCCUUCUUAUAGCGUUGCUAGUUGCAGGUGA